CAAGUCGAGCGGUAACAGAGAGUAGCUUGCUACUUUGCUGACGAGCGGCGGACGGGUGAGUAAUGCUUGGGGAUCUGCCCGGUCGAGGGGGAUAACCGUUGGAAACGACGGCUAAUACCGCAUACGCCCUACGGGGGAAAGCAGGGGACCUUCGGGCCUUGCGCGAUUGGAUGAACCCAAGUGAGAUUAGCUUGUUGGUGAGGUAACGGCUCACCAAGGCGACGAUCUCUAGCUGGUCUGAGAGGAUGACCAGUCACACUGGGACUGAGACACGGCCCAGACUCCUACGGGAGGCAGCAGUGGGGAAUAUUGCACAAUGGGGGAAACCCUGAUGCAGCCAUGCCGCGUGUGUGAAGAAGGCCUUCGGGUUGUAAAGCACUUUCAGUGGUGAGGAAAGGAGGUUGGCUAAUACCUGACCUCUGUGACGUUAACCACAGAAGAAGCACCGGCUAACUCCGUGCCAGC
Molecule: ribosomal RNA, 465 nt
Filed under: bacterium 1611-S4-01-1.1
Lineage: Bacteria
Description: bacterial SSU rRNA
Rfam family: Bacterial small subunit ribosomal RNA
Source: RNAcentral